Molecule: ribosomal RNA, 485 nt
Filed under: uncultured bacterium
Lineage: Bacteria
Description: bacterial SSU rRNA
Rfam family: Bacterial small subunit ribosomal RNA
Source: RNAcentral
GAUGAACGCUGGCGGCGUGCCUAAUACAUGCAAGUCGAGCGGUAACACUUCGGGUGACGAGCGGCGGACGGCUGAGUAACGCGUAGGAACGUACCCCAAACUGAGGGAUAAGCACCAGAAAUGGUGUCUAAUACCGCAUAUGGUCUUCGGAUUAGAGCUUCGGCGGUUUGGGAACGGCCUGCGUAUGAUUAGCUUGUUGGUGAGGUAAAAGCUCACCAAGGCGACGAUCAUUAGCUGGUCUGAGAGGAUGAUCAGCCAGACUGGGACUGAGACACGGCCCAGACUCCUACGGGAGGCAGCAGUAGGGAAUCUUCCACAAUGGGCGAAAGCCUGAUGGAGCAACGCCGCGUGCAGGAUGAAAGCCUUCGGGUCGUAAACUGCUUUUAUAUGCGAAGACUUCGACGGUAGCAUAUGAAUAAGGAUCGGCUAACUCCGUGCCAGCAGCCGCGGUCAUACGGAGGAUCCAAGCGUUAUCCGGAAUUACG